UGCCACGCCCGUGGCUAGGGGCGAUUUCGCGCAUCGGUAACGGGAAUGCGGUGCGGAUGGUUCGCCAUCCCAUUCCGCAGCUGUCCCUGCAACUGUAAGCGGAGAGCGUCCGGCUCUUUUAUGCCACUGGGCCUUGCCCGGGAAGGCUUGCCGGAUGUGUCGACCCGUGAGCCAGGAGACCGACCGGAGCGCGUCGCUCUUG
RNAcentral lists this non-coding RNA (202 nucleotides) under Altererythrobacter epoxidivorans. Lineage: Bacteria; Pseudomonadati; Pseudomonadota; Alphaproteobacteria; Sphingomonadales; Erythrobacteraceae. The record is from RNAcentral.